GGAGUAUCGACCCUCUCUGUGCCGAAGCUAACGCUUUAAGUGUCCCGCCUGGGGACUACGGCCGCAAGGCUAAAACUCAAAGGAAUUGACGGGGGCCCGCACAAGCAGCGGAGCGUGUGGUUUAAUUCGAUGCAACACGAAAAACCUUACCAAGGUUUGACAUGUCGGAAGUAGUGAACUGAAAGGGGAACG
This 192-nucleotide ribosomal RNA is filed under the name uncultured bacterium. Its description in RNAcentral is "partial 16S rRNA". It matches the Rfam family "Bacterial small subunit ribosomal RNA", at positions 826 to 1014 of the family's 1533-position model. The record is from RNAcentral.